CACGGCGCACGGGUGCGUAACACGUGGGCAAUCUGCCCUCCGAUGGGGAAUACCCCCGCGAAAGCGGGACUAAUUCCGCAUAACAUUCCUUGGAUUAACUUUCGAGGAUUCAAAGCAGCAAUGCGUCGGAGGAGGAGCCCGCGCCCGAUUAGCUAGUUGGUGAGGUAACGGCUCACCAAGGCAAUGAUCGGUAGCUGGUCUGAGAGGAUGGCCAGCCACACUGGAACUGAGACACGGUCCAGACUCCUACGGGAGGCAGCAGUGGGGAAUCUUGCACAAUGGGCGAAAGCCUGAUGCAGCGACGCCGCGUGGGGGAUGAAGCUUUUCGGAGUGUAAACCCCUUUCGACUGGGACGAAUGCCUCGCAAGAGGAGUGACGGUACCAGUAUAAGAAGCCCCGGCUAACUACGUGCCAGCAGCCGCGGUAAGACGUAGGGGGCCAGCGUUGUUCGGAAUUACUGGGUGUAAAGGGUUCGUAGGCGGUGUGGCAAGUCGGGAGUGAAAUCUCUGGGCUCAACCCAGAGACUGCUUCCGA
RNAcentral lists this ribosomal RNA (534 nucleotides) under uncultured bacterium. Its description in RNAcentral is "bacterial SSU rRNA". It matches the Rfam family "Bacterial small subunit ribosomal RNA", at positions 94 to 630 of the family's 1533-position model. The record is from RNAcentral.